UAUAAGAUAGGAAAUAUUCUCUGGUCCUUGCAGUGGAUCUCCAAUCUCUUCUAAGAGCGGAAAGUUCCAUAUCUUCUUUUUUAAC
RNAcentral lists this transfer RNA (85 nucleotides) under Leptospira licerasiae str. MMD4847. Its description in RNAcentral is "tRNA-Cys". Lineage: Bacteria; Pseudomonadati; Spirochaetota; Leptospiria; Leptospirales; Leptospiraceae. The record is from RNAcentral.